GAUGAACGCUGGCGGCGUGCCUAAUACAUGCAAGUCGAGCGAACGGACGAGAAGCUUGCUUCUCCGAUGUUAGCGGCGGACGGGUGAGUAACACGUGGAUAACCUACCUAUAAGACUGGGAUAACUUCGGGAAACCGGAGCUAAUACCGGAUAGUAUUUUGAACCGCAUGGUUCAAAAGUGAAAGACGGUCUUGCUGUCACUUAUAGAUGGAUCCGCGCUGCAUUAGCUAGUUGGUAAGGUAACGGCUUACCAAGGCAACGAUGCAUAGCCGACCUGAGAGGGUGAUCGGCCACACUGGAACUGAGAAACGGUCCAGACUCCUACGGGAGGCAGCAGUAGGGAAUCUUCCGCAAUGGGCGAAAGCCUGACGGAGCAACGCCGCGUGAGUGAUGAAGGUCUUCGGAUCGUAAAACUCUGUUAUUAGGGAAGAACAUAUGUGUAAGUAACUGUGCACAUCUUGACGGUACCUAAUCAGAAAGCCACGGCUAACUACGUG
Molecule: ribosomal RNA, 497 nt
Filed under: uncultured bacterium
Lineage: Bacteria
Description: partial 16S ribosomal RNA
Rfam family: Bacterial small subunit ribosomal RNA
Source: RNAcentral